Non-coding RNA from Lactuca sativa (garden lettuce), 1598 nucleotides. Lineage: Eukaryota; Viridiplantae; Streptophyta; Magnoliopsida; Asterales; Asteraceae. The record is from RefSeq and is a predicted model, not a curated record.
UGAAUCGUUAUGGGUUGGAUUGUGCCCAACUCCCACUUUGCCUCUUCUCUUUCUACUUCACACUUCACACGACAUCUCUUGUUCAUCCCAGCGCAUCCCCGAUCUGCAACCAGCGUGCCAGCCCCUCCGCCUCCAGCCGGCGGCCACUUCCUUCGCCAACGACAUUACAUCUGCCAUCACCGACGUCAGCAAACCUUCUCCCUCCCAACGUCAGUCUGACCUGCAAUCCACCACCCCUUAACCAAGUAAAAUUGCUCCCCUUUCUCUCUGUGAUCGACGAACAACAUCGCCUUGCCAUCUUGCCGCCACCAUCACCGUCGAAGUCGCUGCUGCAGUCGGUGAACCUUAUCAUUGGAUCAGAUUUCAUCUUUUUCUCUGAGUUUUGGGUACAUGCCUUCUGAUCUAUACAACUUGAACUCAACAUACAAGACAAAUGAGGAGCUAAAGUAUUGGAUAUAGGAGAUGCAUAACCACCAUCUGCUGGUAUUAUUUAGUUAUCUUUUUUGGUUUGGAGGAAUAUCUGAUGAUACUUUGUUCCUUUUCCAAUACUUUUAAAAUUGAUAGUAGCACAAAUCACAUGGUUUGAAUCAAUCCCAUUUGAGAUCAAAGUUUCUACUUUUAGUAUUUAUCACAUGAAGACCAUAUUGCCCUUUAAUAAACCUGUGUUCCUUCUCCUUUUGGCCUUUUUAAUCUAAAAAAGUUGUGCAGUGCAUGUAUGAAAAAACCAUCCAAUUUUGACAUUUACCAAAAAAGACCAUUUGGCCCUUUACUCAUAUUUUUGCACCUGAUCAUCCAGCUUUUGUUAUUAUUCACUCUCUUAUUCCAAAUGAACAAAAGCAUUAACAUGUUAUAAACUUACUAAUCCGUUAAUUACUAGUUAUUAUAUAAAAUCCAAAACUAUCUGAUGUUUCUUUGUUUCAAAGAAAUUUUGCAUAGGUGAUGAUGAGGCUUUCGAGUACUUAAGUGUAAGGUGAGUUGUGACUAAACUGUAGAGAGGUGACUUUGUCUUUGUGGUAGGUAUCAUUUUUCAUUUUACUUGAAUGUCUGCUUAUGACAAAACUCUAUCACAGAAAAACAAUAAUGUCUUCAAAUAUGUUUUGUUGAGUUUUUAUGAAUUUUUAAUUAUUGAUGAGAAGCUUCAAAGCUUGUUUUAAAAUGUUGUGUCAAGUUAGUUUCAUUAAAUAUAAUUUUUGAAAAAAAAUUAUAUUCCUUGGAGUUGGAGAAGUAAAAUAAUUAUAUUUUUGCUACAUUUUGUGGGAUUCAUGAAGGAUGGAACCCAGUGGUUGAAAGACAACACCAACAUCAAACUUGGUUGUAAAACACUCUAUCCUCUGGUAUUUAUUACUUGUUGGAUGCUGCAUAUGAUGAUCUCAUUCCUGCACAUCUUGUCUUCUUAAAGAGCAGGAAAUCAUUCUUGUUGAAGGUCUGAAACUUGAAGAUGUAGCCAGGAUUAUAUAAUGUCUAAAAAUUUCUAUUAGGUUUUUCUGAAUUUGUGUUUGUUUUAUUAUAUUUUUGUUUAUUUAAUGUUGAAAAAAGUGUGAAUUUUCAUGUAAAUUAUUAUAUAUAUUUUUUAAAAAAAAUAAAAUCACUAUUAGCAA